This 783-nucleotide ribosomal RNA is filed under the name uncultured bacterium. RNAcentral describes it as "bacterial SSU rRNA". It matches the Rfam family "Bacterial small subunit ribosomal RNA", at positions 98 to 880 of the family's 1533-position model. The record is from RNAcentral.
GCGCACGGGUGAGUAACGCGUAUCCAACCUGCCCAUCACUUGGGGAUAACCUUGCGAAAAGUAAGACUAAUACCCCAAUGACGUCUCUAGAAGACAUCUGAAGGAGAUUAAAGAUUUAUCGGUGAUGGAUGGGGAUGCGUCUGAUUAGCUUGUUGGCGGGGUAACGGCCCACCAAGGCGACGAUCAGUAGGGGUUCUGAGAGGAAGGUCCCCCACAUUGGAACUGAGACACGGUCCAAACUCCUACGGGAGGCAGCAGUGAGGAAUAUUGGUCAAUGGACGAGAGUCUGAACCAGCCAAGUAGCGUGCAGGAUGACGGCCCUAUGGGUUGUAAACUGCUUUUAUAAGGGAAUAAAGUGAGUCUCGUGAGACUUUUUGCAUGUACCUUAUGAAUAAGGACCGGCUAAUUCCGUGCCAGCAGCCGCGGUAAUACGGAAGGUCCGGGCGUUAUCCGGAUUUAUUGGGUUUAAAGGGAGCGUAGGCCGGAGAUUAAGCGUGUUGUGAAAUGUAGACGCUCAACGUCUGCACUGCAGCGCGAACUGGUUUCCUUGAGUACGCACAAAGUGGGCGGAAUUCGUGGUGUAGCGGUGAAAUGCUUAGAUAUCACGAAGAACUCCGAUUGCGAAGGCAGCUCACUGGAGCGCAACUGACGCUGAAGCUCGAAAGUGCGGGUAUCGAACAGGAUUAGAUACCCUGGUAGUCCGCACGGUAAACGAUGGAUGCCCGCUGUUGGUCUGAAUAGGUCAGCGGCCAAGCGAAAGCAUUAAGCAUCCCACCUGGGGAG